This 250-nucleotide ribosomal RNA is filed under the name uncultured bacterium. RNAcentral's name for it is "partial 16S ribosomal RNA". It matches the Rfam family "Bacterial small subunit ribosomal RNA", at positions 524 to 773 of the family's 1533-position model. The record is from RNAcentral.
UACGUAGGGUGCGAGCGUUAAUCGGAAUUACUGGGCGUAAAGCGUGCGCAGGCGGUUAUGCAAGACAGGUGUGAAAUCCCCGGGCUCAACCUGGGAACUGCACUUGUGACUGCAUGACUAGAGUGCGUCAGAGGGAGGUGGAAUUCCGCGUGUAGCAGUGAAAUGCGUAGAGAUGCGGAGGAACACCGAUGGCGAAGGCAGCCUCCUGGGAUGACACUGACGCUCAUGCACGAAAGCGUGGGGAGCAAAC